This 253-nucleotide ribosomal RNA is filed under the name uncultured bacterium. Its description in RNAcentral is "partial 16S ribosomal RNA". It matches the Rfam family "Bacterial small subunit ribosomal RNA", at positions 524 to 776 of the family's 1533-position model. The record is from RNAcentral.
UACGUAGGGACCGAGCGUUGUCCGGAAUCAUUGGGCGUAAAGAGCGUGUAGGCGGCCAUUUAAGUCCUGCGUGAAAUCCUGCGGCUCAACCGCAGGCGGUCGUGGGAAACUGGAUGGCUAGAGUGCGGGAGAGGAGAGUGGAAUUCCUGGUGUAGCGGUGGAAUGCGCAGAUAUCAGGAGGAACACCGGUGGCGAAGGCGGUUCUCUGGGCCUUACCUGACGCUGAGGAGCGAAAGCGUGGGGAGCGAACAGG